Molecule: ribosomal RNA, 465 nt
Filed under: uncultured bacterium
Lineage: Bacteria
Description: partial 16S ribosomal RNA
Rfam family: Bacterial small subunit ribosomal RNA
Source: RNAcentral
GACGAACGCUGGCGGCGUGCUUAACACAUGCAAGUCGAACGGAAAGGCCCCUUUGUUGCUCCUCGAGUGGCGAACGGGUGCGUAACACGUAAGUAACCUUCCCUUGACUUCGGGAUAACUUCAGGAAACUGGGGCUAAUACCGGUUAGGAAUCCUUUCUGCAUGGUGGGGGUUGGAAAGCUUCGGCGGUUUUUGAUGGACUUGCGGCUUAUCUGCUUGUUGGUGUGGUUGUGUCUUACCAAGGCUUUUACGGGUAGCCGGCCUGAGAGGGCGACCGGCCACCUUGGGACUGAGAUGAGGCACAGACACCUACGGGAGGCAGCAGUGGGGAAUAUUGACCAAGGGGCGGAGGGCGGGUGCAGAAGCGCCGCGUGCGGGAAGACGGUCUUAGGGUUGAAAACCGAUUUCAGAAGGGGCGAAGCUUGUGUUGACGGUACCUGAAGAAGAAGCACCGGCUAACUACGUG